UACGUAGGGUGCGAGCGUUGUCCGGAAUUAUUGGGCGUAAAGAGCUUGUAGGCGGUUUGUCGCGUCUGCUGUGAAAAUCCGGGGCUCAACCCCGGACUUGCAGUGGGUACGGGCAGACUAGAGUGUGGUAGGGGAGGCUGGAAUUCCUGGUGUAGCGGUGAAAUGCGCAGAUAUCAGGAGGAACACCGAUGGCGAAGGCAGGUCUCUGGGCCACUACUGACGCUGAGAAGCGAAAGCGUGGGGAGCGAACAGG
This 253-nucleotide ribosomal RNA is filed under the name uncultured bacterium. RNAcentral's name for it is "partial 16S ribosomal RNA". It matches the Rfam family "Bacterial small subunit ribosomal RNA", at positions 524 to 776 of the family's 1533-position model. The record is from RNAcentral.